This 82-nucleotide transfer RNA is filed under the name Podarcis lilfordi (Lilford's wall lizard). Its description in RNAcentral is "tRNA.Lys". The stretch from base 19 to 82 matches the Rfam family "tRNA". From Rfam's summary of the family: Transfer RNA (tRNA) molecules are approximately 80 nucleotides in length. Their secondary structure includes four short double-helical elements and three loops (D, anti-codon, and T loops). The record is from RNAcentral. Lineage: Eukaryota; Metazoa; Chordata; Lepidosauria; Squamata; Lacertidae.
GCCUUGCUUCCUGGGAUAGCUCACUUGGUAGGACAUGAGACUCUUAAUCUCAGGGUUGUGGGUUCAAGCCCCACAUUGGGCA